Molecule: ribosomal RNA, 396 nt
Filed under: uncultured bacterium
Lineage: Bacteria
Description: bacterial SSU rRNA
Rfam family: Bacterial small subunit ribosomal RNA
Source: RNAcentral
AUUGAACGCUGGCGGCAUGCCUUACACAUGCAAGUCGAACGGCAGCACGGGAGCAAUCCUGGUGGCGAGUGGCGAACGGGUGAGUAAUAUAUCGGAACGUGCCCAGUCGUGGGGAUAACGUAGCGAAAGCUACGCUAAUACCGCAUACGAUCUAUGGAUGAAAGCGGGGGAUCGCGAGACCUCGCGCGAUUGGAGCGGCCGAUAUCAGAUUAGGUAGUUGGUGAGGUAAAGGCUCACCAAGCCGACGAUCUGUAGCUGGUCUGAGAGGACGACCAGCCACACUGGGACUGAGACACGGCCCAGACUCCUACGGGAGGCAGCAGUGGGGAAUUUUGGACAAUGGGCGCAAGCCUGAUCCAGCAAUGCCGCGUGCAGGAUGAAGGCCUCGGUUGUAAC